Molecule: ribosomal RNA, 262 nt
Filed under: uncultured bacterium
Lineage: Bacteria
Description: partial 16S ribosomal RNA
Rfam family: Bacterial small subunit ribosomal RNA
Source: RNAcentral
UUAGCGGCGGACGGGUGAGUAACACGUGGGUAAUCUGCCUUAUACAGGGGGAUAACAGUUAGAAAUGACUGCUAAUACCGCAUAAGCGCACGGGGACGCAUGUUUCUGUGUGAAAAACUCCGGUAGUAUAAGAUGAGCCCGCGUCUGAUUAGCUGGUUGGUGGGGUAACGGCCUACCAAGGCGACGAUCAGUAGCCGGCCUGAGAGGGUGAACGGCCACAUUGGGACUGAGACACGGCCCAAACUCCUACGGAAGGCAGCAG